Molecule: RNA transcript, 3984 nt
Organism: Gorilla gorilla gorilla (western lowland gorilla)
Lineage: Eukaryota; Metazoa; Chordata; Mammalia; Primates; Hominidae
Gene: C6
Gene name: complement C6
Exons: 17
Source: RefSeq, a predicted model, not a curated record
GCAGAAAGAUAGAAAGGCUCAUUUCUUGAGCCUCUGGGCAUGCACAGAAAAAAAUAAUAAGAAAUAAGAAAUUCAGUAAGUCUACAUGGAGACGUAAAGGAAGAACCUAUAGCUGGGGAUAAACUACAGCAUCCUCAGAAAUCUGUUGGGGCCUGGAGGCUCCCAAGGCAUGGCCAGACGCUCCGUCUUGUACUUCAUCCUGCUGAAUGCUCUGAUCAACAAGGGCCAAGCCUGCUUCUGUGAUCACUACGCAUGGACUCAGUGGACCAGCUGCUCAAAAACUUGCAAUUCCGGAACCCAGAGCAGACACAGACAAAUAGUAGUAGAUAAGUACUACCAGGAAAACUUUUGUGAACAGAUUUGCAGCAAGCAGGAGACUAGAGAAUGUAACUGGCAAAGAUGCCCCAUCAACUGCCUCCUGGGAGAUUUUGGACCAUGGUCAGACUGUGACCCUUGUGUUGAAAAACAGUCUAAAGUUAGAUCUGUCUUGCGUCCCAGUCAGUUUGGGGGACAGCCAUGCACUGAGCCUCUGGUAGCCUUUCAACCAUGCAUUCCAUCUAAGCUCUGCAAAAUUGAAGAGGCUGACUGCAAGAAUAAAUUUCGCUGUGACAGUGGCCGCUGCAUUGCCGGAAAGUUAGAAUGCAAUGGAGAAAAUGACUGUGGAGACAAUUCAGAUGAACGGGACUGUGGGAGGACAAAGGCAGUAUGCACACGGAAGUAUAAUCCCGUCCCUAGUGUACAGUUGAUGGGCAAUGGGUUUCAUUUUCUGGCAGGAGAGCCCAGAGGAGAAGUCCUUGAUAACUCUUUCACUGGAGGAAUAUGUAAAACUGUCAAAAGCAGUAGGACAAGUAAUCCAUACCGUGUUCCGGCCAAUCUGGAAAAUGUCGGCUUUGAGGUACAAACUGCAGAAGAUGACUUGAAAACAGAUUUCUACAAGGAUUUAACUUCUCUUGGACACAAUGAAAAUCAACAAGGCUCAUUCUCAAGUCAGGGGGAGAGCUCUUUCAGUGUACCAAUUUUUUAUUCCUCAAAGAGAAGUGAAAAUAUCAACCAUAAUUCUGCCUUCAAACAAGCCAUUCAAGCCUCUCACAAAAAGGAUUCUAGUUUUAUUAGGAUCCAUAAAGUGAUGAAAGUCUUAAACUUCACAACGAAAGCUAAAGAUCUGCACCUUUCUGAUGUCUUUUUGAAAGCACUUAACCAUCUGCCUCUAGAAUACAACUCUGCUUUGUACAGCCGAAUAUUCGAUGACUUUGGGACUCAUUACUUCACCUCUGGCUCCCUGGGAGGCGUGUAUGACCUCCUCUAUCAGUUUAGCAGUGAGGAACUAAAGAACUCAGGUUUAACCGAGGAAGAAGCCAAACACUGUGUCAGGAUUGAAACAAAGAAACGCGUUUUAUUUGCUAAGAAAACAAAAGUGGAACAUAGGUGCACCACCAACAAGCUGUCAGAGAAACAUGAAGGUUCAUUUAUACAGGGAGCAGAGAAAUCCAUAUCCCUGAUUCGAGGUGGAAGGAGUGAAUAUGGAGCAGCUUUGGCAUGGGAGAAAGGGAGCACUAGUCUGGAGGAGAAGACAUUUUCUGAGUGGUUAGAAUCAGUGAAGGAAAAUCCUGCUGUGAUUGACUUUGAGCUUGCCCCCAUCGUGGACUUGGUAAGAAACAUCCCCUGUGCAGUGACAAAACGGAACAACCUCAGGAAAGCUUUCCAAGAGUAUGCAGCCAAGUUCGAUCCUUGCCAGUGUGCUCCAUGCCCUAAUAAUGGCCGACCCACCCUCUCAGGGACUGAAUGUCUGUGUGUGUGUCAGAGUGGCACCUACGGUGAGAACUGUGAGAAACAGUCUCCAGAUUAUAAAUCCAAUGCAGUAGAUGGGCACUGGGGUUGUUGGUCUUCCUGGAGUACCUGUGAUGCUACUUAUAAGAGAUCGAGAACCCGAGAAUGCAAUAAUCCUGCCCCCCAACGAGGAGGGAAACGCUGUGAGGGGGAGAAGCGACAAGAGGAAGACUGCACAUUUUCAAUCAUGGAAAACAAUGGACAACCAUGUAUCAAUGAUGAUGAAGAAAUGAAAGAGGUCGAUCUUCCUGAGAUAGAAGCAGAUUCCGGGUGUCCUCAGCCAGUUCCUCCAGAAAAUGGAUUUAUCCGGAAUGAAAAGCAACUAUACUCGGUUGGAGAAGAUGUUGAAAUUUCAUGCCUUACUGGCUUUGAAACUGUUGGAUACCAGUACUUCAGAUGCUUACCAGACGGGACCUGGAGACAAGGGGAUGUGGAAUGCCAACGGACGGAGUGCAUCAAGCCAGUUGUGCAGGAAGUCCUGACAAUUACACCAUUUCAGAGAUUGUAUAGAAUUGGUGAAUCCAUUGAGCUAACUUGCCCCAAAGGCUUUGUUGUUGCUGGGCCAUCAAGGUACACAUGCCAGGGGAAUUCCUGGACACCACCCAUUUCAAACUCUCUCACCUGUGAAAAAGGUAAGGCACCAAUGUAUAUUCUUUUAUGCAAAUCAGAAACCGAAGAAUCAUAUAAUUGACAGCUCUCAUAACUUACAUAAUAGGUAAUAUCACUUGUUUUACCUGCUAGCUGUGUCUCAAGUUUAUCCACUUUUCUCCAUUUCCACCUCUGGAACCUUGGUCCAAAUUAUCAUCCUCUUUCACCUGAACUACCACAAUAACCUCAUAGAUUAGUUCCCUGGAGCCCUAUUGACCACCAUGCCUCUUCAAAUCCAUUCUCUGCACAGAAGCCAUAAUUAAUUUCUUUUUUUCAAAAUCGAGGGCUGAUUUUGUUACACCACUCCCUGCUUAAAACCCAUCAGAGACUGUCUACUAUUUAUAAAAUGAAGACAAAACCCUUCAAAGACCCUAUUAGCCUCCCACACAGCCUACCAGACACCUACCUCUCUGGCCAUAUCUUGUCCCAUCCUCUUGUUUUUCAGCACUUCAACCACACUGGGUUCUUUCAGUUCCAGGAAACUCACAUGCUGCCUCCCUUUUUUUUUUUUUUUUUAGACAGAGUCUUACUCUGUUGCCCAGGCUGGGGUGCAGUGGCACAAUCUCGGCUCACUGCAACCUCUGCCUCCCGGGUUCAAGUGACUCUUUUGCUUCAGCCUCCUGAGUAGCUGGGAAUACAGGAGCACGCCACCAUGCCCCGCUAAUUUUGGUAUUUUUAGUACAGAUGGGGUUUCGCCAUAUUGACCAGGCUGUUCUCGAACUCCUGACCUUGUGAUCUGCCCGCCUCAGCCUCCCAAAGUGCUGGGAUUACAAGCGUGAGCCACUAUGCCCGACCACUGCCUCCCAUUUGAACUUUUCCAUACCUUAUGUUUCCUCUGUAUUGAACAGCCUCACUUUUCUUUCUUCAUUUUACCUUUUCUAAUCUUUCUAGCUACAUCAAUUUUUUAUUAUAUGCUUCUCUUUGAUAGCACUAAGAAAGGCAACAAUUCUAUAUUUAUAUUAGUGUGCUCAUUUGAUUAAUGUCUGUCUGCACCCACAAGACUAUAAGCUUGGUAAGCACAGGAUCUGGGUCAGUUUAUGCUCAAUCUACUCUCUCCAGAACCUUACAGAGUGAUGAGAAUAUCAUGUAUACUCAAUAAAUAUUUGAAAAACAAAUGAACAAAAAUUUCAACAGUUCCAUUUUCUUUAGUUACCUGAACAUAAUCGCAAUUUUAGGUUGGAAAAUAACACCUCAUGUGCACUGGAAAGGACCUUUCAGGUGGAAUAUUUAAUGACAAUGUAUUUAGAGAAGCCAAAAUGAAUGAUCUAACUCCAAGAGAUAAAUAUGAAUCCUUUACCACUGCCUCUUCUCUGAAUUCAAGCUUAUCACUUAGAAUCCAUGCUGUGCACUGUUCUUUUCUCCUUUUUUCUUUUGUUUCAGAUAUUCUAACAAAAUUAAAAGGCCAUUGUCAGCCGGGACAGAAACAAUCAGGAUCUGAAUGCAUUUGUAUGUCUCCAGAAGAAGACUGUAGCCAUUAUUCAGAAGAUCUCUGUGUGUUUGACACAGACU